CAGUAGCCGCGGGAAUACGAAGGGUGCAAGCGUUACUCGGAAUUACUGGGCGUAAAGCGUGCGUAGGUGGUGGUUUAAGUCCGUUGUGAAAGCCCUGGGCUCAACCUGGGAAUUGCAGUGGAUACUGGGUCACUAGAGUGUGGUAGAGGAUAGUGGAAUUUCCGGUGUAGCAGUAAAAUGCGUAGAGAUCGGAAGGAACAUCUGUGGUGAAGGCGACUAUCUGGGCCAACACUGACACUGAGGCACGAAAGCGUGGGGAGCAAACAGGAUUAGAGACCCCCGUAGUCCCUGUCUCUUAUAC
This 301-nucleotide ribosomal RNA is filed under the name uncultured bacterium. RNAcentral's name for it is "partial 16S ribosomal RNA". It matches the Rfam family "Bacterial small subunit ribosomal RNA", at positions 509 to 807 of the family's 1533-position model. The record is from RNAcentral.